CGAAGGAUGCAAGCGUUAUCCGGAUUCAUUGGGUUUAAAGGGUGCGUAGGCGGACUGAUAAGUCAGUGGUGAAAUCUCUUUGCUUAACAAAGAAACUGCCAUUGAUACUGUCAGUCUAGAGUAUAGAUGACGUUGGCGGAAUAUGACAUGUAGUGGUGAAAUACUUAGAUAUGUCAUAGAACACCGAUUGCGAAGGCAGCUAACGAAACUAUAACUGACGCUGAGGCACGAAAGUGCGGGGAUCAAACAGGAUUAGAUACCCUGGUAGUCCGCACCGUAAACGAUGAUUACUCGUUGUUGGCGAUAUGACAGUCAGCGACCAAGCGAAAGCGAUAAGUAAUCCACCUGGGGAGUACGCCGGCAACGGUG
This 369-nucleotide ribosomal RNA is filed under the name uncultured organism. RNAcentral's name for it is "bacterial SSU rRNA". It matches the Rfam family "Bacterial small subunit ribosomal RNA", at positions 526 to 896 of the family's 1533-position model. The record is from RNAcentral.